This 928-nucleotide ribosomal RNA is filed under the name uncultured organism. RNAcentral's name for it is "bacterial SSU rRNA". It matches the Rfam family "Bacterial small subunit ribosomal RNA", at positions 119 to 1081 of the family's 1533-position model. The record is from RNAcentral.
GAGAAUCUACCUUCGAGAUGGGGACAACCGUUGGAAGCGACGGCUAAUCCCCAAUAAGCCGAAAGGUGAAAGGGUUUCCGCUCGCAGAGGAGCUCGCGUCCGAUUAGUUAGUUGGUGGGGUAAGAGCCUACCAAGACAGCGAUCGGUAGCUGGUCUGAGAGGAUGAGCAGCCACACUGGGACUGAGACACGGCCCAGACUCCUACGGGAGGCAGCAGUGGGGAAUUUUCCGCAAUGGGCGCAAGCCUGACGGAGCAACGCCGCGUGUGGGAAGAAGGCUCUUGGGCUGUCAACCACUUUUCUCAGGGAAGAAGUCCUGACGGUACCUGAGGAAUCAGCCUCGGCUAACUCCGUGCCAGCAGCCGCGGUAAUACGGAGGAGGCAAGCGUUAUCCGGAAUUAUUGGGCGUAAAGCGUCCGCAGGGGGCACUUCAAGUCUGCCGUCAAAGGUCGGAGCUUAACUCCGGUUCGGCAGUGGAAACUGGAGUGCUAGAGGGCGACAGGGGUAGAGGGAAUUCCCAGUGUAGCGGUGAAAUGCGUAGAGAUUGGGAAGAACACCGGUGGCGAAAGCGCUCUACUGGGUCGCACCUGACCCUCAGGGCGAAAGCUAAGGUAGCGAAAGGGAUUAGAUACCCCUGUAGUCUUAGCCGUAAACGAUGGAUACUAGGCGUGGUUUGUAUCGACCCAAGCCGUGCCGAAGCUAACGCGUUAAGUAUCCCGCCUGGGGAGUACGCACGCAAGUGUGAAACUCAAAGGAAUUGACGGGGGCCCGCACAAGCGGUGGAGGAUGUGGUUUAAUUCGAUGCAACGCGAAGAACCUUACCAGGGCUUGACAUCCCGCGAAUCUUGCUGAAAGGUGAGAGUGCCUUCGGGAGCGCGGAGACAGGUGGUGCAUGGCUGUCGUCAGCUCGUGUCGUGAGAUGUUGGGUU